GGUGAACGCUGGCGGCGUGCCUAAUACAUGCAAGUCGAGCGAUCGGACGAGAAGCUUGCUUCUCUGAUGUUAGCGGCGGACGGGUGAGUAACACGUGGAUAACCUACCUAUAAGACUGGGAUAACUUCGGGAAACCGGAGCUAAUACCGGAUAAUAUUUUGAACCGCAUGGUUCAAAAGUGAAAGACGGUCUUGCUGUCACUUAUAGAUGGAUCCGCGCUGCAUUAGCUAGUUGGUAAGGUAACGGCUUACCAAGGCAACGAUGCAUAGCCGACCUGAGAGGGUGAUCGGCCACACUGGAACUGAGACACGGUCCAGACUCCUACGGGAGGCAGCAGUAGGGAAUCUUCCGCAAUGGGCGAAAGCCUGACGGAGCAACGCCGCGUGAGUGAUGAAGGUCUUCGGAUCGUAAAACUCUGUUAUUAGGGAAGAACAUAUGUGUAAGUAACUGUGCACAUCUUGACGGUACCUAAUCAGAAAGCCACGGCUAACUACGUG
RNAcentral lists this ribosomal RNA (497 nucleotides) under uncultured bacterium. RNAcentral describes it as "partial 16S ribosomal RNA". It matches the Rfam family "Bacterial small subunit ribosomal RNA", at positions 28 to 507 of the family's 1533-position model. The record is from RNAcentral.